RNAcentral lists this transfer RNA (69 nucleotides) under Platytroctes apus (legless searsid). RNAcentral's name for it is "tRNA-Phe". It matches the Rfam family "tRNA". From Rfam's summary of the family: Transfer RNA (tRNA) molecules are approximately 80 nucleotides in length. Their secondary structure includes four short double-helical elements and three loops (D, anti-codon, and T loops). Lineage: Eukaryota; Metazoa; Chordata; Actinopteri; Alepocephaliformes; Platytroctidae. The record is from RNAcentral.
GCUGGCGUAGCUUAAACAAAGCAUGGCACUGAAAAUGCUAAGAUGGGCCCCUAAAAAGCCCCGUGGGCA